RNAcentral lists this long non-coding RNA (1713 nucleotides) under Macaca mulatta (Rhesus monkey). RNAcentral's name for it is "lncRNA (ENSMMUG00000062230.1)". The record is from RNAcentral. Lineage: Eukaryota; Metazoa; Chordata; Mammalia; Primates; Cercopithecidae.
AUGAAAACAGAGCAGCCGAGCUCCAUUAAUGUGAGGAGCCAGGAAAACAGGCAGGAACUAAUUAGCCUUGCACUGUUACUUUUCAGCACCACAUUCCAAAUUCUUCAGUACCAGGCAUUACAUGGUGAAUAUUUAGGUUUGUUCUUCAUGGCACAUGUAUUUAUGACUGGUGAAAAGUACAAUUAAAGGUCAGUAGAUGUAUUUGUAGCAGUAAGGUAAUGCCUGCCUAAGCUUCAUGUUUACUGUGAACAGGUAAAUGGCUGAAUAAAUAAAUGGCUGAUUUUAAUGAAAAUGUAAAUGAGUUUACAUACAUAACUAGUUAAUAUUGUUAAUUAAACUAAAGAUUUUCCACAGUUUAUCAGUCAUAGCUUCAAUAAAUGAAAUCACUUAAUUGGUGCAUGUGUCUUAUUUUUCUUUUAAAAAUAGGCUUAUGAGGACUUUAAAAAAAUAUAAAGUGAAAAGAGAUAAUCAUUUUAUUCAUUAAGGAGUGGGAAGUGUUUAGGAAUUUCACUAUAUAUUCCAAAGGGAGAUGCUGGCAUUAAUGAAUUCAUUAGUUGUACAUAUUUAAUUACUCUUAUUAUACAUCUUAUUCACAUUCUAAAAUUAUUUUUCUGGUUAUGAUAUAAGAAGUGUUUAAGGAUUUCAGGGUAUAUCUUAAGAAGUGACAUUGGCAUAAAUAGAAGCAAUAUUUUAAAAAAUCGUUAUUGUUGUUCUAAAAUGAUGCUAAUCUAAUGUAAAGUUAUGAACAGAAAAAAAAAAAUAGAAAGUAGAAAUAAAAACACUACAACUGAAUUCCCCAGGGAGAAUACUACAUGAAUUAGUGCAUUGUCCAAAGGUCUUCAUUUGUGUCUGUGUCAGUCUAUCUUUUCCUGUCAGUCUGUCCAUAUCUGACACUCUGCUGCCUUCCCCUCUUAUAUCUGUCUGUAUUUCACUUUGCGUAUGUCUGAUCUACCUAAUUGCCUGACCUUGUAUCUCUCUUUCUUGCUUUCUUUCUCUGCCCCUUUCUCUUUCUCUUUUAAAUGUAUGUUUAUGUGUGCAAGUAAAGUUACAAUUAUAUAUAUUUUAGCAACUUUCAUUUUUUAUUUAACAAUAUUGCAUAGACCUAUGUAAAAUAUUUACUGAAAGUAUUUCUGCCUUUAUCCAUGGGAGAUACAUUUAAACAGCUGUAGUGGAUGUCUGAAACGUCAAACCUUAUGUAUACGGUGCUUCUUCAUGUAUAUACCUAAGAUGAUAAAGUUUAAUUUAUAAAUUACACAUGGGAAGAGAUCAAUAACAAUAAUGAUAAAAUAUAACAAUUGUAACAAUAUACUGUAAUCAAAAUUAUGUGAAUGUGGCCUCUCGCUCUUUUUCAAAAUACCUUAUGGUACGGGACUCACCUAUUUUUAGACCUCAGCUGACGGCAAGUAACUUAAAGUGCGGAAAGCAAAAUUGCAGAUAAGAGGGGACCACUGUGUAUGUAAAUUAUCACUAGAAAUUGAACAAAUGCUGACUAUUUUAGAAAAGACAUAUGUAUCAGCAACACAUUAUACACAUACAGAAAGCCAUAGAAAACAUACGAGGACUGCACACCUCAGCGCUUUAUCAAAUGCAAAGAUUUUCUACAGACAAUUCAGGCAUUUAAGUAAUCACAUGCAAAUACGGAAUUGAUAGUUUCUGAAUAAUCCAACCCAACAUGCAUGGCAUUGCAUUUCAUUGUAGUUGUAUUGAUAAUAG